CACCUGAAAGUAGCGGGAGAUAUUCGAUUGGGAUUAGCAAGUGGAUUGAAUGUGGAUCGUAUGUGUUUACUAUGUAUAUUUAAUGGAGGAUCAAAGUGGAUUGCAUUUCAAUGAGCAUACUUAUAUUGUAGAAGAUCGAUUGGGAUUAGCAAGUGGAUUGCAUGUGGAUCGUAUGUGAUUGGGAUGCGUAUUUUAUAAGGUGUAUUCCAUGUGGAUGGUAUAUGUUUGGGAUGUGUAUUUUGUGAAGGAUCGAAAUUCAAUUCAAAAGAAGUUAACAAAUAUUUGAGGAUCGCAUAAGAAAUUCAUAAAGAUUGGGAUUAGCAAGUAAAUUGCAUGUGGAUCGUAUGUUCUUGAGAAUCAUAUUUUAAAAAAUAGAUCACACAUUUGAAGAUCGCAUGAGUAAUUUGUAAGGGCUCCUAUUCUGAGCUUAUAGUAUAAUGCG
Molecule: long non-coding RNA, 442 nt
Organism: Drosophila albomicans
Lineage: Eukaryota; Metazoa; Arthropoda; Insecta; Diptera; Drosophilidae
Exons: 3
Source: RefSeq, a predicted model, not a curated record